RNAcentral lists this ribosomal RNA (321 nucleotides) under uncultured eukaryote. RNAcentral's name for it is "partial 18S ribosomal RNA". It matches the Rfam family "Eukaryotic small subunit ribosomal RNA", at positions 1470 to 1796 of the family's 1831-position model. The record is from RNAcentral.
CCCUUAGAUGUCCUGGGCCGCACGCGCGCUACACUGACAUGUUCAACAAGCCUCCUAGUUCGACAGGAUUUGGGAAAUCUUUGAACGCAUGUCGUGAUAGGGAUAGAUCAUUGCAAUUAUUGAUCUUGAACGAGGAAUUCCUAGUAAACGCGAGUCAUCAGCUCGCAUUGAUUACGUCCCUGCCCUUUGUACACACCGCCCGUCGCACCUACCGAUUGAAUGUUUCGGUGACGAUUCCGGAUAGGACUUUUUUGAUUUAUUUCAAUUUUGUCUUAAAAGCUAUCUAAACCUCAACAUUUAGAGGAAGGUGAAGUCGUAACA